AUUGAACGCUGGCGGCAUGCUUUACACAUGCAAGUCGAACGGUAACAGGCCUUCGGGUGCUGACGAGUGGCGAACGGGUGAGUAAUGCAUCGGAACGUACCCAGAGGUGGGGGAUAACGCAGCGAAAGCUGUACUAAUACCGCAUGUGAUCUGAGGAUGAAAGCGGGGGACCGAGCAGCAAUGUUUGGCCUCGCGCCUUUGGAGCGGCCGAUGUCGGAUUAGCUAGUUGGUGGGGUAAAGGCCGACCAAGGCGACGAUCCGUAGCUGGUCUGAGAGGACGACAAGCAAGCGUGGGACUGAGACACGGACCAGACUCCUACGGGAGGCAGCAGUGGGGAAGGUUGGAAAAUGGGCGCAGGCCUGAUCCAGCAAUGCCGCGUGAGGGAAGAAGGCCUGCGGGUUGUAAACCGCUUUUGGCGGGAACGAAACGGUGUCCGCUAAUACCGGGCGCUAAUGACGGUACGUGCAGAAUAAGCACCGGCUAACUACG
RNAcentral lists this ribosomal RNA (490 nucleotides) under uncultured bacterium. RNAcentral describes it as "partial 16S ribosomal RNA". It matches the Rfam family "Bacterial small subunit ribosomal RNA", at positions 29 to 505 of the family's 1533-position model. The record is from RNAcentral.